Molecule: long non-coding RNA, 1545 nt
Organism: Oncorhynchus tshawytscha (Chinook salmon)
Lineage: Eukaryota; Metazoa; Chordata; Actinopteri; Salmoniformes; Salmonidae
Source: Ensembl
GGAUGUCUAGUGUCCCUUAUGGCUCUAAUCUGAUAGUGGUAGUGGGGGGGUAGAUUCCUAGUGUCCCUUAUGACUCUAAUCUGAUAGUGGUAGUGGGGUGGUAGAUUCCCAGUGUCCUUUAUGGCUCAAAUCUGAUAGUGGUAGUGGGGUGGUAGAUUCCUAGUGUCCCUUAUGGCUCUAAUCUGAUAGUGGUAGUGGGGUGGUAGAUUCCUAGGGUCCCUUAUGGCUCUAAUAGGAUAGUGGUAGUGCGGGGUGGUAGAUUCCUAGUGUACCUUAUGGCUCUAAUCUGAUAGUGGUAGUGGGGUGGUAGAUUCCUAGUGUCCCUUGUGGCUCUAAUAUGAUAAUGGCAGUAGGGUGGUGGAUGUCUAGUGUCCCUUAUGGCUCUAAUAUGAUAAUGGUAGUAGGGUGGUGGAUGUCUAGUGUCCCUUAUGGCUCUAAUAUGAUAAUGGCAGUAGGGUGGUGGAUGUCUAGUGUCCCUUAUGGCUCUAAUCUGAUAAUAGUAGUGGGGGGUGGCAGAUUCCUAGUGUCCCUUAUGGCUCUAAUCUGAUAGUGGUAGUGGGGUGGUAGAUUCCUAGUGUCCCUUAUGGCUCUAAUCUGAUAGUGGUAGUGCGGGGUGGUAGAUUCCUAGUGUCCCUUAUGGCUCUAAUCUGAUAGUGGUAGUGGGGUGGUAGAUUCCUAGUGUCCCUUAUGGCUCUAAUCUGAUAGUGGUAGUGGGGUGGUAGAUUCCUAGUGUCCCUUAUGGCUCUAAUAUGAUAGUGGAUGUAGGGUGGUGGAUGUCUAGUGUCCCUUAUGGCUCUAAUAUGAUAAUGGUAGUGGGGUGGUAGAUUCCUAGUGUCCCUUAUGGCUCUAAUAUGAUAAUGGUAGUAGGGUGGUGGAUGUCUAGUGUCCCUUAUGGCUCUAAUAUGAUAAUGGUAGUAGGGUGGUGGAUGUCUAGUGUCCCUUAUGGCUCUAAUAUGAUAAUGGCAGUAGGGUGGUAGAUGUCUAGUGUCCCUUAUGGCUCUAAUAUGACAAUGGUAGUAGGGUGGUGGAUGUCUAGUGUCCUUAUGGCUCUAAUCUGAUAGUGGUAGUGGGGUGGUAGAUUCCUAGUGUCCCUUAUGGCUCUAAUCUGAUAGUAGUAGUAGGGUGGUGGAUGUCUAGUGUCCCUUAUGGCUCUAAUAUGAUAAUGGUAGUGGGGUGGUAGAUUCCUAGUGUCCCUUAUGGCUCUAAUCUGAUAGUGGUAGUGGGGGGUGGCAGAUUCCUAGUGUCCCUUAUGGCUCUAAUCUGAUAGUGGUAGUGGGGGUUGUUAGAUUCAUAGUGUCCCUUAUGGCUCUAAUAGGAUAGUGGUAGUGGAGGGUGGUAGAUUCCUACUGUCCCUUAUGGCUCUAAUCUGAUAGUGGUAGUGGGGUGGUAGAUUCCUAGUGUCCCUUAUUGCUCUAAUCUGAUAGUGGUAGUGGGGUGGUAGAUUCCUAAUGUCCAUUAUGGCUCUAAUAUGAUAAUGGUAGUAGGGUGGUGGAUGUCUAGUGUCCCUUAUGGCUCUAAUAUGAUAAUGGUAGUAGGGUGGUGGAU